GUGCGCGUACGUCCCAGCCGAACGAGCUAGUGGUAUGAGCCGGCAGUUUCGGUGCGGCUGCGGCCAGAGCAACAGGUACUCGCAGCGACUGAGGAGCCAACAGGUAGACGAGCGCUGAGGUCAACGCAGAUUGUCGUGCUGUCAACAUCAACCCCGCUCUGACAAUGCUCAUCAUCUCAGGCUUAACGAUCUACAUGCUGUACACGAUGAUUAUGCAACAUAUAAACAGCGGAGCGAACAAAAUGUUGCUUAAUCAAACUCAUAGUGCCAACGACUCCCUGGUCCCCGGCAUCCCCGACAGCUGGCUCGAGGUGUGGGAUCCUGUGGUCGUCGCUGGCGAGGGGGACGACGUGGACAGACUGGCGUAUAGGGUUCGAGUGAGG
Penaeus monodon (black tiger shrimp) is the source of this 383-nucleotide long non-coding RNA. RefSeq lists it as uncharacterized. The record is from RefSeq and is a predicted model, not a curated record. NCBI's taxonomy places the organism in Eukaryota, Metazoa, Arthropoda, Malacostraca, Decapoda, Penaeidae. The transcript has 3 exons.